Poecilia latipinna (sailfin molly) is the source of this 1304-nucleotide long non-coding RNA. RefSeq lists it as uncharacterized. Lineage: Eukaryota; Metazoa; Chordata; Actinopteri; Cyprinodontiformes; Poeciliidae. The record is from RefSeq and is a predicted model, not a curated record. The transcript is spliced from 2 exons.
AACAAACAGGUGUUGUCACAGCUGACUCAUUUUCAACGUAAGGGAAAAUGGAUGAAUGUAAGGUUGGCAAAUCAAAUACAUCAGAACAUUUUCUACAGUUCAUAGGUUUGUGAACUUCAUAUGUCAUUUACAGAAAGCUUAAAAGGAACCAUUUAAAGCGUUGUUAUACCAUUUUGCAGUUGUUGGGUGAAUCACAACAAAAGGCAAAUCUGCGUAACAUGAUUAUUGAUCCACGUUUAAGACAUGGCAGUUUUUAACAUUCCAGGAAAAGCAGACAUUUGUACAAAUGAAGCUUUUUUCAUUAACUAAGGAAGUUAAGAUAAAAAGAAAAAGAAUCAAGUCAUCUCUUAUUUCCACAAGCAUGUGAAGUAGUCAGGAUACAGUCCGUCACUAAUCUAAUUGUUUCUAGCCAACAGUCCUUUGAGUAAUGACAGCUGAGAUAUUUACUAGUGUUUGGAACAAAAGUGGCUGUUAGUACAAGUGAAGUUGAAUGCUGCAGAAACAAUGAAUCGAGAGGAGGAAAUGUAAAAUGUACUGGUCAGAAAGUCGUGCAUAAGGGGGGUUAGGAGUUCAGUUUCCUGUGAAAAUCACUGUGUGUUGGCAGCUCACGUAAAGCUACCCGUUUGUGUGCUGAAACAAACAAUCUGACUAAACUGGCUCUGCUAAGGCAUUCUGCCCAGUGUGGCUGCAUCACUCAGGGGCUUUUUCAAUGUACUUUUCAUAAAUUAGCAAAAAUGAACAAAUUAGUCCUUUUGUCCACUCAGAGUGUUUGAAAGUCACGUAAUCUUCUAUGGACAAACACCUGAUGGAACAGUUUGGGCAAUCUGUCACACUGGUUGGCACCACAAAAUCAACACAAUUGCGGUGAAUCAGCAAAUACUGCAGGUUAAGCCGUCUCCCAAUUUUAGUACUUAGUUAAAGGGGAUGAGCAGAGGUUGGAUCCAUGACUGGAUCUUUCAGAUCAAUCAGAAGUGGAUAAGGCACCUGGUAGAUAGUACAUGGCUAUAGCUUUAGGGCUGCCGAUCCCCAGAGCCAUUCAUGAACACCUUUUGGAACAGUGGAAGGACACAUGAGAAAAGUCAGGGAGUCAUGUGGCGUUGAGAUAGAGAUGCACCACUACAGGAUGGACCAGGGCAACAAACUGAUGGAAGGAUUGCUGCAAAGUCAAUGACACGACACAACAACUCUCCACUGUUCUCAGUGAGUGAAUGACUCUGCUGAGUUUUCUAAGACGGAAAACCUUUUAACCAGUUUUCAGUUGGAAUCUUUAUGGUUGAUAUGGAAUUUAUAUUUAUAAUUGGAUU